This 282-nucleotide long non-coding RNA is filed under the name Mytilus galloprovincialis (Mediterranean mussel). The record is from RNAcentral. Lineage: Eukaryota; Metazoa; Mollusca; Bivalvia; Mytilida; Mytilidae.
GUCCGGUAAGACCCCAUUUUGGUCCCAAAAUAUAGCAGUUUUACAAAAUUGUUAAAAUGUAAACUUUAAGCUAUUUAUUGGAAAGUAGAAUGCUUCUGCUACAUGAAUAUGGGCUUUUUUUGACAAUACAGUGCAUAUGUAUCGGGUACUAGCAUCAUGAAGUCAUGCUAAAUUACUGAAAUCUUCAUAAUUUGAGCAUUUUAGUUAAAUUUUAGACGGUUUUCGUCUUAAAUGAAAGUGGCCGCAUUCGUGUUCAUUCUUAAUAUUGAAAUGUAAGUUGUA